GCGCCUGUAGCUCAGUGGAUUAGAGCACUAGCCUACGAAGCUAGGGGUCGCAGGUUCGAAUCCUGCCAGGCGCA
Molecule: transfer RNA, 74 nt
Filed under: Deltaproteobacteria bacterium
Lineage: Bacteria; Pseudomonadati; Myxococcota; Myxococcia
Description: tRNA-Arg
Rfam family: tRNA
About the family: Transfer RNA (tRNA) molecules are approximately 80 nucleotides in length. Their secondary structure includes four short double-helical elements and three loops (D, anti-codon, and T loops).
Source: RNAcentral